This 329-nucleotide ribosomal RNA is filed under the name uncultured bacterium. Its description in RNAcentral is "bacterial SSU rRNA". It matches the Rfam family "Bacterial small subunit ribosomal RNA", at positions 568 to 898 of the family's 1533-position model. The record is from RNAcentral.
UGCGUAGGCGGCGAUGUAAGUCAGAUGUGAAAUCCCCGGGCUCAACUCGGGUUCUGCAUUUGAAACUACAUUGCUUGAGUGCAGGAGAGGAAAGCGGAAUUCCUAGUGUAGCGGUGAAAUGCGUAGAUAUUAGGAAGAACACCAGUGGCGAAGGCGGCUUUCUGGACUGUAACUGACGCUGAGGCACGAAAGCGUGGGGAGCAAACAGGAUUAGAUACCUGGUAGUCCACGCUGUAAACGAUGGAUACUAGGUGUGGGGGACAUACAACCUCUGUGCCGGAGCAAACGCAAUAAGUAUCCCGCCUGGGGAGUACGGCCGCAAGGUUGAA